This is a long non-coding RNA of Cygnus olor (mute swan), 4060 nucleotides long. RefSeq lists it as uncharacterized. NCBI's taxonomy places the organism in Eukaryota, Metazoa, Chordata, Aves, Anseriformes, Anatidae. The record is from RefSeq and is a predicted model, not a curated record. The transcript has 3 exons.
UCUCAUCUACAAACACCGCAUUUGCUGUUCCUCUUGCAGAGCCCACCUCAGCAAGGCGCCGUUCCCAAAUCCUGCUCCUGCCCAUGGAGCUGGGGCUUGGGCUGUCCCUGCCCCCCGGACACAUUUUAUUGCAGCUGAGCUGGACGAGAUGGUUUGCACACAUGCCCCUCGUGGUGCACAAGUUGUGGACAUGAUUACGCCCUGUGUUGCACGGGAUAAACCCCCGGGUUCAGAGCACGAACGUCCCACCAGCCACGGCUGGUGCUCCUCCUGCCUGGCAGCCAGCGGAGGGGCUUCAAAUCCCGUCCCCCCGGUUCCUAGGUUAACUGGGUUUUGGUUGUGGAGCGGGGACAGCCGCGUGCCACGUCCAGGGCUGCUUUUGAGGGCAGCAGGACCGCCCCGUGCCGCCCUUUCAAACCUCCCCUUCCCGGCAGACCUGGGGGGCGAGGACGCGGGUGGCAGGUGGCAGGGAGCACGGAAGCGCUGGGAGAAACGUGCCAGGGUUUCCUCGACUGCCAAGCGCGCAGAUUGGCCCAGACCGGACAGAUUUCGUUCUGCUCCCAGCCCGACCGUGCAGUCACGUGAAGGAAGAGAAAAGGAAUGUGCCAGGCCGGGUGCCAGCCUGCGGGGGAAAAGGUCAGUGGGUUUUGCUGACCCGUACGGCGGCCAGCUGCUUGUUUCACCUGCGCCGAGAGCAGAGGGGCCGACAGGCCAGGAGGUGCAGGACCCGGGGGAGAAGAACCCCCAGUAAGAACGUGAGGGCUCCAUGGUAUGAACCCAAUGGGGUUUGUUGAUGAAAUCAACCCCCCGAGGUGAUAAAACGGGUCUUUAUCCACCCCUUAGGGUGAAAAGUAUGGACUCGGAGGAAACGUGUUCAGGCCUACGUGGGCGUUACGACAAAGUGAACUCUCACAAACUUUUUUUGCAGCGUUUUUCUGGCUCCGAUCUGCAGCUAUGCUCGCCUUCUGUUGGUGUCAGCAGAACGGAUUUCGGAGCCGCAAGUCCUGAGGUGUUUAACUGCUUGUGUGCCAGCCCGUGAUCCGUCGCCUCGGAAACAAAAAGUGACAUUAAGAUGGGAAAAGUGGGUAAAUGAACCUGAAAAUCCACGUGCUGGUCCCCGUCCUGCCCGAGCCACGGUGAACAAUGAGGGCUGCUUUAGGGCAACAUUUUCGGAAAUCUGCUGGAAAUUUGAGGACUAAAAUGGACAUUGGCCUUAAAAUGUCAGUGUGUCAGCAUCUUGAAAACCUCACACGGGUAUUAAAAAAACAUAAUUUUUCAGUAUCAUUAACGGGCUUUUGAGAUCUUUCGAAAGAAAGGCAAAGAAGAGAAAUAUCAUGGCUUUCACUCCAAAGCUAUUUCCUCUAAAAAUGAAUAUCCCCUGUUUUUCCUAACAGUUAUUCUUUAGCCUCCUUGGUGACUUAACCUCUCCUAGCACUGCGUCUGGCAUCUGGUUAGCUGCAUUGUUUUAUCGAGCGCUGGGAAUGGAAGCUUUUAAGAUCUCCUCUCUGAGCUCUCAGAAAUCUCGCCUCAUCAGCAUGCUGCUCUUGGCAGGCGGCUUUUUCUUCAGCUCCAAGACAUGCAUAUUGAUCAGUCAUUUUCUUUUGUUACCUAGCAUCUUGUCAUCGAUUUUAAUUGUUGGGUAUUGAAGAGGAAGCAUUCAGCACACGUAGAAUUGCCGGCUAGGAAAUCUUGCUUUCUGCACCUCUCGCCAGACGGUGCGCGCAGUUAAACCCUCAGGAGCCGUGGAUCUCUCUCUCUCUCUCCUAGCAAUCUGCACAAAUUAUGCAGCAGUCGAUUUUUUUCUAUUAAAUCAAUUUCUGAUCCUCUAUGACAGCUUUCCCUGCCGCCUGAUUUCACACUUCAGCAGUUUGUUUCUGAGGUGCCAUGCGGGUUUUUUUUUUUCCAAAGGGGUGGUGACGGUAGUGCAUUUAACUCACAGAUAUGUUGCUCGUGCCUCCCCAGUUCCCUUCUCCUACUUAAACGAUUUGUACAGCUUCAGGUGACUGCAAAUGAAAGGACUCCUACUGAGCCUCCUUCUCCAUUUCUCUGUUCUCUGGGGAGGUUUGAGUGCUUUCCUCACUACCGAGACAUCAAGAUGCUCAAGGCGUCAACUCCCAGAUUCUCGGGGAUCCAAACAGACCUCAGCAAGAGCAUGCAACUGCAAAACGGCCUCGGAUUUUAGAUGACAUGACGCUUCUGGCUCUUCUCUGGCUCCUUGUCAGUCCACAGGGCUUCUCCUGAGUUGUUCCCUGAAACUUCCUCUCCUGCUGCUGAAAUGGAGCAGUUUCUCUAAGACAAAAGUACAGGUUGAACCUAUGUCUGAUGGGGACAUGAAUCUUCACAUCCCCACGAUGCAAAAUAUCAAAGUAGAGAGCUGGUGGCAUUCAUUAACUCUUCUUCUUCCUGCAAAAUACCUUCUUUUACUUAGAUAGUUCCUAUCUCCUGCGCUCUCAGAGAGCUUUCACUAUAAAUGUUUCCUGAAGGCUCUGUUUGUAAGGACAGUGGGAUCCUCCUACUGUCUCCCUGAUUCUAGGUUUUCCUUGACUUUAGAUACACAAAAAGCCAUCCUAUUUUUGGCAGCCCGCAGUCAGUGACAUAGGAAUUCAUGAGUAGGGAGGAAAGGAUGUGAACUAUCCAAACAGAUUUUUUUUUUUUCAAAUGAGAUCUCUUUACAUUCCUAUCGACAUAGUAAUAAGCAAUGAGUCACUGUUACACUGAACCAUUAAACUAUUAUUGUAAACUCAUGUCAUUAGAAUCUGUUAAUGUGAACCACUAACCUUGCUUGGCCUCGGCGUAGCUGGAUUCAAGAAGAUAUCAUCCAUUUAUAAGGGUAAGAACAAUAUUCCCUUACACUUCUCAUUCCCAGAUGGCAAAAAAUAAACGAAAUCUUAUUCAGCCCUAUCUUUUCUAUUUCUAGGGUUUCUCUUCUCACUGCCUUUUAAAGUGAAUUCAUCUUGCUUCCUCGUAACGUCACAAAAGAUGUUUUAUUUUAUUUCUUCAAAGUUUGCCAGCUGUAAAUGGGGCAGAUUUGGCCUGGGCACUCCCAGCUGCCAGAAUAUCCAUACAGUAUCACCUGAAAGCAGCAGUGUCUCUCCCCAGAGACUGCUUUCUUUGUUCAGUCCUGCCACGACCAGCCCUCAAGAUACGAUUGGAGGAAGUGAGAGAACGGUGCAGCGUUUCUGCUGAGGGGCAGUGGGAUGGGAUAAGGAGUGUGUUUGCAGAGCGAAAUUUGGUUUCAGUGCACACGCUGUAAGAACCAGAAUCCACCUGUUAGAACCGGGCCUUCAGCUACUUGACUUCAAAGUGACCUCAGAGUUUCACUCAAAAAGUACGGGAAACCCAAGUGUGAGAGCUUCCCUUGGCCUGCAGCCUUCCUACCUGAAAGAAGUCCGGAGUUUUUCCACUUCUCGGUCUCUCCUAAAGCCUGGAGGUGGAUACACAGGAAACUGUUUUUCCACUUCAGAUUUCUACUAAAAUGUCUUGUUAUUACAACAAACCACUUGAUUCAGCAGCACCACUUCACAGGCUGUUUUAUAAAUAGAGACAUUUCCUCUGCCCUGAAGAGCUUACAACCUACACGAGACAGACAAAAUACAGCAAAUCAGGAAAAGUAGGAUGAGCAGAAUGUUAAUGGUGAAACAGGAGAAGGUGCUGCUUGAAGGUGUGAAGUGGGCUAAGGAUUAAGAUCUUCGUGGAAGACAGCUCCCUUUUUUCAUCCUUCAUCAGACUGCUAUUGAAACAACUCGCUGAAUGAACGAACGAAUGAGUGAAUGAAUGCAACAGCAACGUCUGACUUUUGAGGGAUCCAAAAUGUUCAUUUAAAAUUUCAUUAAAUGGUCAUUUAAAAAAUAUUACAAAAUCUGUGGGAUCCAGAUUUUACACGAAUGAGAGAUUUUGGUUUAAAUAUAUAGACGUGCGUAUUUCACUGCAGACCUGAAAAGUGAAAAUACCCCAUUCACUUGUAUACGUUCAAGUGGCCACUGGUGGUCUUGUCAGUUCACAUUUCAGAUUUUAAUUUUGAUCAAAGCCCGUGCUAAUUCAUAAAGAACGGGGUUCAUCG